GGGGGCGAAUGGACUCGACGGGGGUGACGAAGUACAGGUGGCAUGCCGUGGCGCCGUCACCACGUAAAAAGGCGGCAAAACAAUAAGUGCCAACUCUGAACUCGCACUCGCUGCUUAAUAACUAAGCAGCCGUUGGGGAGGUGACGCCUGCUAACCUCUUCCAACGACGGCCAGCAGGCUUGCCCCUGAGCCUGGUCCCCGGGGCAAGGGGGACAUCUUACGGGGAUAGGGCCCUGAGAAGCCUGCCUGUCGGCGUCUCUUGGCCCGAAUGCAGUAGACAGGCUAAGCAUGUAGAAGCCUGUACGUAGCACUUCCGGACGCGGGUUCGAUUCCCGCCGCCUCCACCA
This 347-nucleotide transfer-messenger RNA is filed under the name Nitrospirota bacterium. RNAcentral's name for it is "Nitrospirae bacterium transfer-messenger RNA". It matches the Rfam family "transfer-messenger RNA". From Rfam's summary of the family: Bacterial tmRNA, also known as 10Sa RNA or SsrA, is named for its dual tRNA and mRNA-like properties. The record is from RNAcentral. Lineage: Bacteria; Pseudomonadati; Nitrospirota.